Molecule: transfer RNA, 69 nt
Filed under: Dipodomys ordii (Ord's kangaroo rat)
Lineage: Eukaryota; Metazoa; Chordata; Mammalia; Rodentia; Heteromyidae
Rfam family: tRNA
About the family: Transfer RNA (tRNA) molecules are approximately 80 nucleotides in length. Their secondary structure includes four short double-helical elements and three loops (D, anti-codon, and T loops). Further hydrogen bonds mediate the characteristic L-shaped molecular structure. tRNAs have two regions of fundamental functional importance: the anti-codon, which is responsible for specific mRNA codon recognition, and the 3' end, to which the tRNAs corresponding amino acid is attached (by aminoacyl-tRNA synthetases). tRNAs cope with the degeneracy of the genetic code in two manners: having more than one tRNA (with a specific anti-codon) for a particular amino acid; and 'wobble' base-pairing, i.e. permitting non-standard base-pairing at the 3rd anti-codon position.
Source: Rfam by way of RNAcentral
GUGAAGGUGGCUCAAUGGUAGAGUGCUUGUCUUGCAUGCUAGAGGCCCUGGGUUCGAUUCCUCAGCACA